AAAUUGAAGAGUUUGAUCAUGGCUCAGAUUGAACGCUGGCGGCAGGCCUAACACAUGCAAGUCGAACGGUAACAGAAAGCAGCUUGCUGCUUUGCUGACGAGUGGCGGACGGGUGAGUAAUGUCUGGGAAACUGCCUGAUGGAGGGGGAUAACUACUGGAAACGGUAGCUAAUACCGCAUAACGUCGCAAGACCAAAGAGGGGGACCUUCGGGCCUCUUGCCAUCGGAUGUGCCCAGAUGGGAUUAGCUUGUUGGUGGGGUAACGGCUCACCAAGGCGACGAUCCCUAGCUGGUCUGAGAGGAUGACCAGCCACACUGGAACUGAGACACGGUCCAGACUCCUACGGGAGGCAGCAGUGGGGAAUAUUGCACAAUGGGCGCAAGCCUGAUGCAGCCAUGCCGCGUGUAUGAAGAAGGCCUUCGGGUUGUAAAGUACUUUCAGCGGGGAGGAAGGGAGUAAAGUUAAUACCUUUGCUCAUUGACGUUACCCGCAGAAGAAGCACCGGCUAACUCCGUGCCAGCAGCCGCGGUAAUACG
Molecule: ribosomal RNA, 537 nt
Filed under: Escherichia coli
Lineage: Bacteria; Pseudomonadati; Pseudomonadota; Gammaproteobacteria; Enterobacterales; Enterobacteriaceae
Description: bacterial SSU rRNA
Rfam family: Bacterial small subunit ribosomal RNA
Source: RNAcentral